CCAGGUAGCCGGGAAACAACACAGCAGGAGCAGCCCUGUCAACACCGUCUACUACCUGCUGCGUAGUUACAUGCUACCUUAAACGACACACAACUUCAGGGUUGCGGAAACUUAUUUAAAUAGCAGUGAAAAUCCCUGGAACUACACUCCAUACCAGAUGGUGGCAGUAAUGCGCACCUCAACGCCUUUGCUAACCGCCAAUAUAGGAAGAAGACGAACUAACGUCUAAUGCGUAUGUUCAAAAUGCCCGGAUGCAAAGAAGCGGGACGUUGAUUUUCUUUUUUUUUUUUUGCCGUCUGCGUUAUCCUCAACUUUGCGGUAACACCCCAAAAGACAAACCCUUUGUCUGAACCUCCCCUUUAAUACAUGCAUGACACCAUACAUACCAGGCGAGCAUGCAUCUUGCAAUCCUUGUGCACCUACCUAAAUGAAGACUGCAAGAAAUUAAUAAAGGAAUACUUGAAUACAGACAGCGAGGCAAACAGCUGUAUGGAGCAAACUGUGAUGGUGGUGUAUGUCAUCAGAAAGGAAGGUGCUGAAUCUGAAGAUGACCCAGAGGGCAUUGGUGUCCUAAUUAAGGGUGCAGAGGCUCCCUCUGGUUUGGGUAACAUUGCACUGGUGUUUGGACUCAUUUACUGUUUGAACCUGAGCUACCCACCAGAACUGAAAUGCACUUUUGAGGCCUUCCAGAAGAUACUUAUAAAUCUUGAUGGACAAAGACUCUCUUUAAAGGCACAGUUUCUGAAAAACAAACUUAUGGGGUGAGUGCACUUGAAAAUAACUGAUACAGACUAUUCAUUGGUGCAGUGGUGAUUUGCAUUGCAAAAAUCCAUUUUCACCUUUCUUUUGUCUUCAUUUUUUAAUUUACAAAAAUACAUUUACUAAACAAUUCUUUUUUUUUUUGUUUGUUCUGUUUGUCAUUUGACCUUGUAUACAACACUGCAGAUGGGAUUUUUAUGUUUUUAUUGUCUUGGGUUGAAUGGAUCAGUAGUAAUCAGAAUCAGCUUUAUUGCCAAGUUUGUACAUACAAACAAGUAAUUUGACUCCGGUACACUUUGCUCUUUGGUUCCCAAGACUUGGGUUCUUCUCUUAUUUUGUUGUUACUCGUUGUUAGAACUAAUUCACACACACAGCAUAAUGCUUUGUCAUGAGUUAGAUGAACAUAAUGUAACUGAUCUACUUGGAGUCUCCCCAUCUUUUUCUUCCUGCUGCAUUUUUUUAUUUUUUAUUUUGUCUGGUUGUUUUAAAAGCAAAGCGAUGUUGCUAUCAGUGGAGGACCAAAACCAAAAGGAAAAAUAAAUACAGAAAUAAAAAAUUGGUUAAAUACUUUAAUUGACAAUUGGCUAUACAAAAAUAUUUUUCAUUAAUUAUUUUAUAAAAUGUGACAAACUUUCUUUGUAAUUUUUAACGGUUCUUUAAUUUGAUAUUAAGCCCCGUUUUCCAUGUAAUUUCAAUUGUCCUUUUUAAUUCUUUUUUUUUCUACAGAUUUUCCUUCUUAAAUUUUCCUUUGUGUGAUCCCUCAAAUAUUUGUCAGUAUUUCUUACAUUUUCUUUGUUUGACAAUAGUAACAUCGAUUUGUCUCAUUUUAUAACUUAAUACAUACAACUAUUUUUGAUGUUAUAUAAAUAAAACUGAAUUGAAUUGAAAAUGACUGAAUGUUGUAAUGCAUGGUAAAUUUUGACAAAUAAGCCCUUAUGACU
This is a long non-coding RNA of Girardinichthys multiradiatus, 1700 nucleotides long. RefSeq lists it as uncharacterized. Lineage: Eukaryota; Metazoa; Chordata; Actinopteri; Cyprinodontiformes; Goodeidae. The record is from RefSeq and is a predicted model, not a curated record. The transcript has 5 exons.